RNAcentral lists this ribosomal RNA (253 nucleotides) under uncultured bacterium. RNAcentral describes it as "partial 16S ribosomal RNA". It matches the Rfam family "Bacterial small subunit ribosomal RNA", at positions 524 to 776 of the family's 1533-position model. The record is from RNAcentral.
UACGGGGGGGGCAAGCGUUGUUCGGAAUUACUGGGCGUAAAGGGCUCGUAGGCGGCCAACUAAGUCAGACGUGAAAUCCCUCGGCUUAACCGGGGAACUGCAUCUGAUACUGGAUGGCUUGAGAUUGGGAGAGGGAUGCGGAAUUCCAGGUGUAGCGGUGAAAUGCGUAGAUAUCUGGAGGAACACCGGUGGCGAAGGCGGCAUCCUGGACCAACACUGGCGCUGAGGAGCGAAAGCCAGGGGAGCAAACGGG